AGUCGAGGGGCAGCGGGAUUGAAGCUUGCUUCAAUUGCCGGCGACCGGCGCACGGGUGAGUAACGCGUAUCCAACCUUCCGUACACUCAGGGAUAGCCUUUCGAAAGAAAGAUUAAUACCUGAUGGUAUGAUGAGAUUGCAUGAUAGCAUCAUUAAAGAUUUAUCGGUGUACGAUGGGGAUGCGUUCCAUUAGGUAGUAGGCGGGGUAACGGCCCACCUAGCCAACGAUGGAUAGGGGUUCUGAGAGGAAGGUCCCCCACAUUGGAACUGAGACACGGUCCAAACUCCUACGGGAGGCAGCAGUGAGGAAUAUUGGUCAAUGGACGAGAGUCUGAACUAGCCAAGUAGCGUGAAGGAUGAAGGUCCUACGGAUUGUAAACUUCUUUUAUAAGGGAAUAAACCCUCCCACGUGUGGGAGCUUGUAUGUACCUUAUGAAUAAGCAUCGGCUAACUCCGUGCCAGCAGCCGCGGUAAUACGGAGGAUGCGAGCGUUAUCCGGAUUUAUUGGGUUUAAAGGGAGCGCAGACGGGUCGUUAAGUCAGCUGUGAAAGUUGGGGGUUCAACCUUAAAAUUGCAGUUGAUACUGGCGUCCUGGAGUGCGGUUGAGGUGUGCGGAAUUCGUGGUGUAGCGGUGAAAUGUUUAGAUAUCAGAAAGAACUCGGAUUGGGAAGGCAGCACACUAAUCCGUAACUGACGUUCAUGCUGGAAAGUGUGGGUAUCAACCAGGAUUAGUUACCCUGUUAGUCCACACGGUAAAGGAUGGAUACUGGCGGUUGGCGAUAUACUGUCAGCGGCUUAGCGAAAGCGUUAAGUAUCCCACCUGGGGAGUACGCCGGCAACGGUGCAACUCAAAGGAAUUGACGGA
RNAcentral lists this ribosomal RNA (865 nucleotides) under uncultured bacterium. Its description in RNAcentral is "bacterial SSU rRNA". It matches the Rfam family "Bacterial small subunit ribosomal RNA", at positions 60 to 917 of the family's 1533-position model. The record is from RNAcentral. RNAcentral also lists the same sequence under 1 other name.